UCAAACUGCUGGCAAAAUAUUCCUUAACCAAGCUGUGUCAUGAACACCCAUUUUUUGAGACUGAGGAACAUAUUUGCACCUGAGAUACGAAGUGAGGCAUGUCCAAGUUAUAUCAAAAGCAACCUGUCUGGACUUGGCUAAUGACCUGUUGGACCUUUUGUGUCAGCCUACAGGAGGAAUUCUUCAUGAACAGAAGUUGUCUUGGAAAUAAGCUGCUAUCCCAGCAACAAAGGGCCGUAACCAGGUGGUUGGGCACGAAUUCUCUGAAAAUGAAAUAAUCUCCAAAAUGCUAUUCCUGGUUGACUUGUGUGUAAACAUCUAUUCAGCGUGGUUGCAAGGCAUGCACCAUCAUAGAGAACUCCAGGGCUGCAAUCGGUUUUCAUGACCAAUGAUUGACCAGUCACCAAGGUGGAAACAUCUACAGUCUGGCUGCAUGGCAUGCACCAUCAUAGAGGAGUCCGUGGGUGCGAUUGGUUUUUAUGACCAACGAUUUACCAGUCACCAAGAGUCAUCAAUCAAUGAGGCAUUCUUGCUCUUGGAGCCAAGCUGAAUGUUCACCAAUGCAUACAGUCUGUCUCUCAAGGCCCAAGUUAAUACACAAAACAAAUGAAGCUUGAGAAGCUCCUGGUGUGCUGUUUCAGGAGUCCUAGGAUUCUUUUUCAAAUGGAGAAGUUUUGUCCUGCUCUACAAACAUGAGCGCAUCAGGCU
This is a long non-coding RNA of Carlito syrichta (Philippine tarsier), 708 nucleotides long. RefSeq lists it as uncharacterized. The record is from RefSeq and is a predicted model, not a curated record. The transcript has 4 exons. NCBI's taxonomy places the organism in Eukaryota, Metazoa, Chordata, Mammalia, Primates, Tarsiidae.